RNAcentral lists this non-coding RNA (24 nucleotides) under Cricetulus griseus (Chinese hamster). The record is from RNAcentral. Lineage: Eukaryota; Metazoa; Chordata; Mammalia; Rodentia; Cricetidae.
AGGAACUGGGGACUGUGAUGAGGU